RNAcentral lists this ribosomal RNA (253 nucleotides) under uncultured bacterium. RNAcentral describes it as "partial 16S ribosomal RNA". It matches the Rfam family "Bacterial small subunit ribosomal RNA", at positions 524 to 776 of the family's 1533-position model. The record is from RNAcentral.
UACGGAGGGUGCAAGCGUUGUCCGGAAUCAUUGGGCGUAAAGAGCGCGUAGGCGGCCCUGUAAGUCCGCUGUGAAAGUCAAGGGCUCAACCCUUGAAUGCCGGUGGAUACUGCAGGGCUAGAGUCCGGAAGAGGCGAGUGGAAUUCCUGGUGUAGCGGUGAAAUGCGCAGAUAUCAGGAGGAACACCGAUGGCGAAGGCAGCUCGCUGGGACGGUACUGACGCUGAGGCGCGAAAGCGUGGGGAGCAAACAGG